This 412-nucleotide ribosomal RNA is filed under the name uncultured microorganism. Its description in RNAcentral is "bacterial SSU rRNA". It matches the Rfam family "Archaeal small subunit ribosomal RNA", at positions 330 to 745 of the family's 1478-position model. The record is from RNAcentral.
GUGCAGCAGGCGCGAAACCUCCGCAAUGCGGGAAACCGUGACGGGGUCACCCCGAGUGCCACCCGCUGAGGGUGGCUUUUCCCCGGUCUAAAGAGCCGGGGGAAUAAGCGGGGGGCAAGACUGGUGUCAGCCGCCGCGGUAAUACCAGCCCCGCGAGUGGUCGGGACGUUUAUUGGGCCUAAAGCGUCCGUAGCCGGCCCGGUAAUUCCCUCCUUAAAGCCCACGGCUCAACCGUGGGAACGGAGGGAUAAUGCCGGGCUAGGGGGCGGGAGAGGCCGGGGGUACUCCCGGGGUAGGGGCGAAAUCCUGUAAUCCCGGGAGGACCGCCAGUGGCGAAGGCGCCCGGCUGGAACGCGCCCGACGGUGAGGGACGAAAGCUGGGGGAGCAAAGGGGAUUAGAUACCCGUGUAGU